GUAGGCAGCCAUUUCACCCUGCAGCCCAAGACUGGUUGCCCACUGAAGCUAAGCAGGGUUGAGCCUGGUCAGUACCUGGAUGGGAGACCUACUGGGAAAACUAGGUUGCUGCUGGAA
Molecule: ribosomal RNA, 117 nt
Filed under: Sinocyclocheilus rhinocerous
Lineage: Eukaryota; Metazoa; Chordata; Actinopteri; Cypriniformes; Cyprinidae
Source: RNAcentral